Molecule: ribosomal RNA, 904 nt
Filed under: Bacillus infantis
Lineage: Bacteria; Bacillati; Bacillota; Bacilli; Caryophanales; Bacillaceae
Description: bacterial SSU rRNA
Rfam family: Bacterial small subunit ribosomal RNA
Source: RNAcentral
UUAUAUGGAGAGUUUGAUCCUGGCUCAGGACGAACGCUGGCGGCGUGCCUAAUACAUGCAAGUCGAGCGGACGGAUGGGAGCUUGCUCCCUGAAGUCAGCGGCGGACGGGUGAGUAACACGUGGGCAACCUGCCUGUAAGACUGGGAUAACUUCGGGAAACCGGAGCUAAUACCGGAUAAUGCAUUUCCCCUCAUGGGGAUAUGCUGAAAGAUGGUUUCGGCUAUCGCUUACAGAUGGGCCCGCGGCGCAUUAGCUAGUUGGUGAGGUAACGGCUCACCAAGGCAACGAUGCGUAGCCGACCUGAGAGGGUGAUCGGCCACACUGGGACUGAGACACGGCCCAGACUCCUACGGGAGGCAGCAGUAGGGAAUCUUCCGCAAUGGACGAAAGUCUGACGGAGCAACGCCGCGUGAGUGAUGAAGGUUUUCGGAUCGUAAAACUCUGUUGUCAGGGAAGAACAAGUGCCGGAGUAACUGCCGGCACCUUGACGGUACCUGACCAGAAAGCCACGGCUAACUACGUGCCAGCAGCCGCGGUAAUACGUAGGUGGCAAGCGUUGUCCGGAAUUAUUGGGCGUAAAGCGCGCGCAGGCGGUCUCUUAAGUCUGAUGUGAAAGCCCACGGCUCAACCGUGGAGGGUCAUUGGAAACUGGGGGACUUGAGUGCAGAAGAGGAAAGUGGAAUUCCACGUGUAGCGGUGAAAUGCGUAGAGAUGUGGAGGAACACCAGUGGCGAAGGCGACUUUCUGGUCUGUAACUGACGCUGAGGCGCGAAAGCGUGGGGAGCAAACAGGAUUAGAUACCCUGGUAGUCCACGCCGUAAACGAUGAGUGCUAAGUGUUAGAGGGUUUCCGCCCUUUAGUGCUGCAGCAAACGCAUUAAGCACUCCGCCUGGGGAGUACGGC